RNAcentral lists this ribosomal RNA (748 nucleotides) under Glomeromycotina sp. OTU3 DJMC-2012. RNAcentral's name for it is "eukaryotic LSU rRNA". It matches the Rfam family "Eukaryotic large subunit ribosomal RNA", at positions 50 to 649 of the family's 3401-position model. The record is from RNAcentral. Lineage: Eukaryota; Fungi; Glomeromycota.
GCGGAGGAAAAGAAAAUAACAAUGAUUCCUCUAGUAACUGCGAGUGAAGAGGGAAAAGCUCAAAUUUUAAAUCUGUUAGGUUUACCUAACCGAGUUGUAAUUUGAAGAAGCGUUUUCUGCGAAUUUGGUUAGUCCAAAUCCUUUGGAAUAAGGUAUCAUGGAGGGUGAGAAUCCCGUUCGGUUAACCAAAGCGCUUUACGAUACGCUUUCAAAGAGUCAAGUUGUUUGGGAUUGCAGCUUAAAAUGGGAGGUAAAUUUCUCCUAAGGCUAAAUAUUGGCGAGAGACCGAUAGCGAACAAGUACCGUGAGGGAAAGAUGAAAAGAACUUUGAAAAGAGAGUUAAACAGUACGUGAAAUUGUUGAAAGGGAAACGAUUAAAGCCAGUCGUACCUACGAGUGAUCAACCUACUCGAGUGCGAUUUUGUGGGUAUGUUUGAGCUUAAAAACCUUCAUGCUUACAAAUUGGUGCUCUUUGGGCGUACUUUCUCGUAUGGUAGGUUAACAUCAAUUUCGAUCGUUAUAAAAUGACUGGAGGAAUGUAGCUUCGAUUUCGGUUGAAGUGUUAUAGCCUUUGGUAGAUGUAAUGAUUGGGAUUGAGGAUUGCAACGGAUACCCUCUGGGCUAUUCGUCUGAUCUCUGGAAGUUACCUUGGUGUCGAAAGCGUGCUUACGAUAUUAAGGUUGACGGCCAAUAGGUUAGAACGUGAUUAAAUUCGUUAAGGAUGUUGACGUAAUGGCUUUAAACGACC